GGGGCAUUAACUCAGCUGGCCAGAGUGCUUCCUUUGCAAGGAAGAAGUCGUCGGUUCGAAUCCGACAUGCUCCACCA
Molecule: transfer RNA, 77 nt
Filed under: Candidatus Nomurabacteria bacterium
Lineage: Bacteria; Candidatus Nomuraibacteriota
Description: tRNA-Ala
Rfam family: tRNA
About the family: Transfer RNA (tRNA) molecules are approximately 80 nucleotides in length. Their secondary structure includes four short double-helical elements and three loops (D, anti-codon, and T loops).
Source: RNAcentral